GCCCAGAUGGCGGAAUUGGUAGACGCGCUAGCUUCAGGUGCUAGUACCGCAAGGCGUGCAAGUUCGAGUCUUGUUCUGGGCA
RNAcentral lists this transfer RNA (82 nucleotides) under Candidatus Aphodenecus pullistercoris. RNAcentral's name for it is "tRNA-Leu". It matches the Rfam family "tRNA". Rfam says of the family: Transfer RNA (tRNA) molecules are approximately 80 nucleotides in length. Their secondary structure includes four short double-helical elements and three loops (D, anti-codon, and T loops). Lineage: Bacteria; Pseudomonadati; Spirochaetota; Spirochaetia; Spirochaetales. The record is from RNAcentral.